UAGCUCAGUGGUAGAGCGCUUGUCUAGAAUGCAUGAGGUCCUGAGUUUGAUCCCCAG
Molecule: transfer RNA, 57 nt
Filed under: Ictidomys tridecemlineatus (thirteen-lined ground squirrel)
Lineage: Eukaryota; Metazoa; Chordata; Mammalia; Rodentia; Sciuridae
Description: Spermophilus tridecemlineatus (thirteen-lined ground squirrel) tRNA
Rfam family: tRNA
About the family: Transfer RNA (tRNA) molecules are approximately 80 nucleotides in length. Their secondary structure includes four short double-helical elements and three loops (D, anti-codon, and T loops).
Source: Rfam by way of RNAcentral